Non-coding RNA from Danio rerio (zebrafish), 539 nucleotides. NCBI's taxonomy places the organism in Eukaryota, Metazoa, Chordata, Actinopteri, Cypriniformes, Danionidae. The record is from Ensembl.
GCUGUUCAUGCAGAAGCUACAGCAGUGCUGCAAAUUGUUCGACUUCUACGACACAGUGACUGACCUAAAGAGCAAAGAGACCAAACGGGCCACUCUCAGCGAACUCGUGGAUUAUGUGUCCACUAACAGAGGCGUUCUGGUGGAGCCCGUCUAUCCCGAAAUCACCACAAUGGUCAGCACAAACAUUUUCAGAACACUUCCACCCAGUGAAAACCCAGACUUUGAUCCAGAAGAAGAUGAACCCACGCUUGAAGCCUCCUGGCCACACAUGCAGUUGGUGUAUGAGUUUUUCCUUCGAUUCCUUGAAAAUCCAGACUUCCAGCCAAGCACUGCCAAACGUUAUAUUGACCAGAAGUUUGUGCUACAGGUACUUUUGUGUGUGUUUGUUUUUUUUGUUUGUUUUUUUUGUUACAAGAAUUUUUGUUGGGAUUACAAGAAGCUAUUUUUUUUAGGUGUAUAGGAUUAGGUGUAUAGAAUAAUUUGUCAUCCCCCAGGCAAUGGGAGAUUCAUUCAGUUAACAUGGCAGCAUCUAGUUAAAA